CCUGACCGAGCGACGCCGCGUGAGCGAUGAAGGCCUUCGGGUUGUAAAGCUCGUGUCGGGGGGGGAGAAAGGGAAACUUGAUCGACCCCCGGAGGAAGCACGGGCUAAGUUCGUGCCAGCAGCCGCGGUAAGACGAACCGUGCGAACGUUGUUCGGAAUCACUGGGCUUAAAGGGCGCGUAGGCGGGUCGUCAAGUCAGGGGUGAAAUCCUGCGGCUCAACCGCAGAAGUGCCUUUGAUACUGACGGUCUCGAGGGAGGUAGGGGCGUGUGGAACUUCCGGUGGAGCGGUGAAAUGCGUAGAUAUCGGAAGGAACGCCGGUGGCGAAAGCGACGCGCUGGACCUCUUCUGACGCUGAGGCGCGAAAGCCAGGGGAGCAAACGGGAUUAGAUACCCCGGUAGUCCUGGCCCUAAACGAUGGGUACUAGGUAGUGGACUUGACAUGGGUUCACUGCCGAAGCAAAAGUUUUAAGUACCCCGCCUGGGGGAGUAUGGUCGCAAGGCUGAAACUCAAAGGAAUUGACGGGGGC
RNAcentral lists this ribosomal RNA (529 nucleotides) under uncultured bacterium. Its description in RNAcentral is "bacterial SSU rRNA". It matches the Rfam family "Bacterial small subunit ribosomal RNA", at positions 382 to 920 of the family's 1533-position model. The record is from RNAcentral.